This 253-nucleotide ribosomal RNA is filed under the name uncultured bacterium. RNAcentral describes it as "partial small subunit ribosomal RNA". It matches the Rfam family "Bacterial small subunit ribosomal RNA", at positions 41 to 285 of the family's 1533-position model. The record is from RNAcentral.
AGAAUACAACGACUGGCGGGCGUGCCUAACACAUGCAAGUACGCACGAGAAAGGGGAAGGCAAUACCCUCGAGUACAGUGGCGCACGGUGGAGUAACAUGUGAAUAAUCUACCUCCGAGUGGGGAAUAACUGAGAGAAAUCUUAGCUAAUACCGCAUAAUACCCACGGGUCAAAGCAGCAAUGCGCUUGGAGAGGAGUUCGCGGCAGAUUAGUUAGUUGGCGGGGUAAUGGCCCACCAAGACGAUGAUCUGUA